This 101-nucleotide small nuclear RNA is filed under the name Bos grunniens (domestic yak). Lineage: Eukaryota; Metazoa; Chordata; Mammalia; Artiodactyla; Bovidae. The record is from RNAcentral.
GUGCUCGCUUUGGAAGCAUAUAUACCAAAAUUGGAAUACAGAGAUUAGCAUGGCCCCUGCACAAAGAUGACACACAAAUUCAUGUAUUGUUCCAUACUUUU